This 445-nucleotide ribosomal RNA is filed under the name uncultured bacterium. Its description in RNAcentral is "partial 16S ribosomal RNA". It matches the Rfam family "Bacterial small subunit ribosomal RNA", at positions 354 to 796 of the family's 1533-position model. The record is from RNAcentral.
GUGAGGAAUAUUGGACAAUGGGCGCAAGCCUGAUCCAGCCAUGCCGCGUGCAGGAAGACGCAUCUAUGGUGUGUAAACUGCUUUUGUACGGGAAGAAACACUCCCUCGUGAGGGAGCUUGACGGUACCGUAAGAAUAAGGAUCGGCUAACUCCGUGCCAGCAGCCGCGGUAAUACGGAGGAUCCAAGCGUUAUCCGGAAUCAUUGGGUUUAAAGGGUCCGUAGGCGGUUUAAUAAGUCAGUGGUGAAAGCCCAUCGCUCAACGAUGGAACGGCCAUUGAUACUGUUAGACUUGAAUUACAAGGAAGUAACUAGAAUAUGUAGUGUAGCGGUGAAAUGCGUAGAUAUUACAUGGAAUACCAAUUGCGAAGGCAGGUUACUACUUGUGGAUUGACGCUGAUGGACGAAAGCGUGGGGAGCGAACAGGAUUAGAUACCCUGGUAGUCC